UGAUAUCAGGUAAGAGUACCCACUGGAUUUAAGCAUAUAACUAAGUGGAGGAAAAGAAACUAACAAGGAUUCCCCUAGUAACGGCGAGUGAAGCGGGAAGAGCUCAAUCUUAAAAUCUCUAUAUUAAAUUGUAGUGAAUUGUAGUCUAUUGAAUUGGUUUUGCAAUGAACAUAUGGAAAAGUCCCUUGGAAGAGGGCAGCAUAGAGGGUGAUACUCCCGUCUUUGCCGUAUGAUUUAUUGUAUUAAUUCCUCUUUCAUUGAGUCGAGCUGCUUGGGAAUGCAGCUCAAAGCAGGUGGUAAAUUCCAUCUAAAGCUAAAUAUGUGUGUAAGACCGAUAGCGAACAAGUACCGUGAGGGAAAGAUGAAAAGAACUUUGAAAAGAGAGUUAAACAGUACCUGAAACUGCUGAAAGGGAAUCGGAUUGUUGCCAGUGUGAUCCAAUACAUAUUUCAAUAGUGAGUAAUCGUUGUUGCCCUGUGUGUUGGUGUGAUGUUAGGGUCAAUUGAUUUUGCAAGAAAUUGGUAAGAGGGAGGUAGGUGAUAUUUUCGGAUAUGACUAUUAUAUUCUUUUGCUAGUGUUGUGAAUGAGAUUGAGGAAACAAUGUGCAAUUUAUUUACUUUUCAUCUUUUUUGACUUAUUUAUUUUACAGCUUGCUGUUAUUUAAGUAAUGUUUUGAGAAACUUGAUAUGUAGACAAUGCCAUUCGGGACCCUGACAAAAUGGAGCAAUCUGUCCCGUCUUGAAACACGGACCAAGGAGUCUAACAUGUAUGCAAGUAUUUAAGUGGUAAACUUAAAUGCAUAAUGAAAGUGAAUUAAAGCAUUUAGCUUUAUAAGGUAGGAAGAGUUUUACUCUGCACUAUCAACCGAUCUAGAACCUUCGGGUAAAAGAUUUGAGUAUGAGCAUGUAUGUUGGUACCCGAAAGAUGGUGAACUAUGCCUGAAUAGGGUGAAGCCAGGGGAAACUCUGGUGGAGGCUCGUAGCGGUUCUGACGUGCAAAUCGAUCGUCAAAUUUGGGUAUAGGGGCGAAAGACUAAUCGAACCAUCUAGUAGCUGGUUCCCUCCGAAAUUUCCCUCAGGAUAGCA
This 1085-nucleotide ribosomal RNA is filed under the name Eurychasma dicksonii. RNAcentral describes it as "eukaryotic LSU rRNA". It matches the Rfam family "Eukaryotic large subunit ribosomal RNA", at positions 1 to 983 of the family's 3401-position model. Lineage: Eukaryota; Oomycota; Myzocytiopsidales; Eurychasmataceae. The record is from RNAcentral.